RNAcentral lists this ribosomal RNA (301 nucleotides) under uncultured bacterium. RNAcentral describes it as "partial 16S ribosomal RNA". It matches the Rfam family "Bacterial small subunit ribosomal RNA", at positions 509 to 807 of the family's 1533-position model. The record is from RNAcentral.
CAGCAGCCGCGGGAAUACAGAGGGUGCGAGCGUUGUUCGGAAUUACUGGGCGUAAAGCGCACGUAGGCGGCUUGGUAAGUUAGAGGUGAAAGCCUGGAGCUCAACUCCAGAAUUGCCUUUAAGACUGCCGAGCUAGCAGGUGAGAGAGGUAAGUGGAAUUCCGAGUGUAGAGGUGAAAUUCGUAGAUAUUCGGAAGAACACCAGUGGCGAAGGCGGCUUACUGGCUCAUACUGGACGCUGAGGUGCGAAAGCGUGGGGAGCAAACAGGAUUAGAUACCCCCGUAGUCCCUGUCUCUUAUAC